UCGAGAAUAAUUCACAAUGGACGAAAGUCUGAUGGUGCAACGCCGCGUGGAGGAUGAAGGUCUUCGGAUUGUAAACUCCUGUCAUUGGGGAGUAAGACCUGGCGGUGAAUAGCCGACAGGGUUGAUAGUACCCAAAGAGGAAGGGACGGCUAACUUCGUGCCAGCAGCCGCGGUAAUACGAAGGUCCCGAGCGUUGUUCGGAAUCACUGGGCGUAAAGGGAGCGUAGGCGGCAUGGUAAGUCAGAUGUGAAAUCCCGGGGCUCAACCCCGGAACUGCAUCCGAUACUGCCUUGCUUGAGGGUUGGAGAGGUGACUGGAAUUCUCGGUGUAGCAGUGAAAUGCGUGGAUAUCGAGAGGAACACUCGUGGCGAAGGCGAGUCACUGGACAACAUCUGACGCUGAGGCUCGAAGGCCAGGGGAGCAAAAG
This 427-nucleotide ribosomal RNA is filed under the name uncultured Luteolibacter sp. RNAcentral's name for it is "bacterial SSU rRNA". It matches the Rfam family "Bacterial small subunit ribosomal RNA", at positions 355 to 774 of the family's 1533-position model. The record is from RNAcentral. Lineage: Bacteria; Pseudomonadati; Verrucomicrobiota; Verrucomicrobiia; Verrucomicrobiales; Verrucomicrobiaceae.